Molecule: ribosomal RNA, 506 nt
Filed under: uncultured bacterium
Lineage: Bacteria
Description: partial 16S ribosomal RNA
Rfam family: Bacterial small subunit ribosomal RNA
Source: RNAcentral
GAUGAACGCUAGCUACAGGCUUAACACAUGCAAGCCGAGGGGUAACGAGAGGAAAGCUUGCUUUCCUUGUUGACGACCGGCGCACGGGUGAGUAACGCGUAUCCAACCUGCCCCCAACUAGGGAAUAACCUUGCGAAAGUAAGACUAAUACCCUAUAAUUUCCUCAGAUGUCAUCUGACGAGGAAUAAAGAUUUAUCGGUUGUGGAUGGGGAUGCGUCUGAUUAGCUUGUUGGCGGGGUAACGGCCCACCAAGGCAACGAUCAGUAGGGGUUCUGAGAGGAAGGUCCCCCACAUUGGAACUGAGACACGGUCCAAACUCCUACGGGAGGCAGCAGUGAGGAAUAUUGGUCAAUGGGCGGAAGCCUGAACCAGCCAAGUAGCGUGCAGGAUGACGGCCCUAUGGGUUGUAAACUGCUUUUAUACAGGAAUAAAGUUAGCCACGUGUGGUUAUCUGUAGGUACUGUAUGAAUAAGGACCGGCUAAUUCCGUGCCAGCCGCCGCGGUAA